AUUGAACGCUGGCGGCAGGCCUAACACAUGCAAGUCGAGCGGAUGAAGGGAGCUUGCUCCUGGGUUCAGCGGCGGACGGGUGAGUAAUGCCUAGGAAUCUGCCUGGUAGUGGGGGAUAACGUCCGGAAACGGGCGCUAAUACCGCAUACGUCCUGAGGGAGAAAGUGGGGGAUCUUCGGACCUCACGCUAUCAGAUGAGCCUAGGUCGGAUUAGCUAGUUGGUGGGGUAAAGGCCUACCAAGGCGACGAUCCGUAACUGGUCUGAGAGGAUGAUCAGUCAAAUGGGAACAGAGAAAGGGUCCAAAACCCUAGGGGAGGCAGAAGGGGGGAAGAUUGGAAAAGGGGGGAAAGCCUAACCCAGCAAGGCCGGGGGGGGGAAGAAGGUCUUCGGAUUGAAAAGAAAUUUAAGGUGGGAGGAAGGGCAGAAAGUUAAAACCUUGGUGUUUUGACUUUACAAAAAAAAAAAGCACCGGAUAACUUGGU
This 483-nucleotide ribosomal RNA is filed under the name uncultured bacterium. RNAcentral's name for it is "partial 16S ribosomal RNA". It matches the Rfam family "Bacterial small subunit ribosomal RNA", at positions 29 to 506 of the family's 1533-position model. The record is from RNAcentral.